AGAGUGUAGUGCAGCCAAGGAUGACUUGCCGGCGAAGGCAUAUGCUUAUUCCACAGCCGGCAAGUUGUCCUUGGCUAUAUUGGACUUUCU
RNAcentral lists this microRNA precursor (90 nucleotides) under Trifolium pratense (red clover). Lineage: Eukaryota; Viridiplantae; Streptophyta; Magnoliopsida; Fabales; Fabaceae. The record is from RNAcentral.